Molecule: ribosomal RNA, 440 nt
Filed under: uncultured bacterium
Lineage: Bacteria
Description: partial 16S ribosomal RNA
Rfam family: Bacterial small subunit ribosomal RNA
Source: RNAcentral
CCUACGGGAGGCAGCAGUAGGGAAUAUUGCUCAAUGGGGGAAACCCUGAAGCAGCAACGCCGCGUGGAGGAUGAAGGUCUUCGGAUUGUAAACUCCCUUUGUUAGAGAAGAUAAUGACGGUAUCUAACGAAUAAGCACCGUCUAACUCCGUGCCAGCAGCCGUGGUAAUACGGAGGGAGCAAGCGUUAUCCGGAAUCACCGGGCGUAAAGCGCGCGUAGGCGGGAUAGAAAGUCAGAUGUGAAAUCCUAUGGCUUAACCAUAACACUGCAGUUGAAACUGGUAUUCUAGAGUAUGGGAGAGGUAUGCGGAAUGCUUGGUGUAGGGGUAAAAUCCGUAGAGAGCAAGAAGAAUACUCAUUGCGAAGGCGACCUGCUAGAACAUAACUGACGCUGAUGCGCGAAAGCGUGGGGAGCAAACAGGAUUAGAUACCCGUGUAGUC